This 77-nucleotide small nuclear RNA is filed under the name Mola mola (ocean sunfish). The record is from RNAcentral. Lineage: Eukaryota; Metazoa; Chordata; Actinopteri; Tetraodontiformes; Molidae.
GUGAUACUUUGGUAGCACAUAUACUAAAAUUGGAAUGAUACGGAGAAGAUUAGCAUGGCCCCUGCGCAAGGAUGACA